This 492-nucleotide ribosomal RNA is filed under the name uncultured bacterium. RNAcentral describes it as "partial 16S ribosomal RNA". It matches the Rfam family "Bacterial small subunit ribosomal RNA", at positions 29 to 507 of the family's 1533-position model. The record is from RNAcentral.
AGUGAACGCUGGCGGUAGGCCUAACACAUGCAAGUCGAACGGCAGCACAGUAAGAGCUUGCUCUUAUGGGUGGCGGGUGGCGGACGGGAGAGGAAUACAUCGGAAUCUACUUUUUCGUGGGGGUUAACGUAGGGAAACUUACGCCAAGACCGCAUAUGCUCUACGGUGGUAAGCAGGGGAUCUUCGCACCUUGUGCGAUUGAAUGAGCCGAUUUCGGAUUAGUUAGUUGGCGGGGUAAAGGCCAACCAGGGCGACGAUCCGUGGCCGGUCAGAGAGGAUGGUCGGCGACACGAGAACUUGAACACGCUCCAUACUCCUACGGGAGGCAGCAGUGGAGAAUGUGGGGCAAUGGGCGCAAGCCUUAUCCAGCCAUAGCGCGUGUGUGAAGGAGGCCUUCGGGUUGUGAAGCCGUUUUGUUGGGUAUAAACAGCAGCAGCUUAAUACGCCGCUGUACUGACGGUACCCAAUGAAUAAGCACCGGCUAACUUCGUG